Long non-coding RNA from Dalotia coriaria, 406 nucleotides. RefSeq lists it as uncharacterized. The record is from RefSeq and is a predicted model, not a curated record. NCBI's taxonomy places the organism in Eukaryota, Metazoa, Arthropoda, Insecta, Coleoptera, Staphylinidae. The transcript is spliced from 3 exons.
GGUUCUGUGCGGCGCGCGUGCAUCCGUCGACCAUGUAUUGUACUUUAAUUCUGUUUGCUUCAAGUGAGAGAAGAAAAGUUCUUUAAUCGUAUGAACUACAUUUAGUCACCUUCAAGGGUCGGGAAAUGCCCUUAAAUCACUCUCAAACUUCAGCAAUUUUGGUAAUUUUUAAAAAGUUGCUGUGGUAAAUGGUGAUAGAGUAAGAGUUCUUUAAUGGUAUGAACUGCAGUCAGUCACCCUCAAGGGCCGGGAUAUGCCCUUAAAUCACUCUCAAACUUCAGCAAUUUUUGUCAUUUUUGAAAAGUUGCGGUGGAAAUUAGUGAUAGAAGAAGAGUCCUUUAAUCGUAUGAACUACAUUCUACAUUCAGCAUUUUUUGUCAUUUUUGAAAAGUUGCUAUGGAAAAUG